UGGGGAAUAUUGGACAAUGGGCGAAAGCCUGAUCCAGCCAUGCCGCGUGUGUGAAGAAGGUCUUCGGAUUGUAAAGCACUUUAAGUUGGGAGGAAGGGCAGUAAGCGAAUACCUUGCUGCUUUGACGUUACCGACAGAAUAAGCACCGGCUAACUCUGUGCCAGCAGCCGCGGUAAUACAGAGGGUGCAAGCGUUAAUCGGAAUUACUGGGCGUAAAGCGCGCGUAGGUGGUUCGUUAAGUUGAAUGUGAAAGCCCCGGGCUCAACCUGGGAACUGCAUCCGAAACUGGCGAGCUAGAGUAGGGCAGAGGGUGGUGGAAUUGCCUGUGUAGCGGUGAAAUGCGUAGAUAUAGGAAGGAACACCAGUGGCGAAGGCGACCACCUGGGCUCAUACUGACACUGAGGUGCGAAAGCGUGGGGAGCAAACAGG
This 429-nucleotide ribosomal RNA is filed under the name Pseudomonadota bacterium. Its description in RNAcentral is "Proteobacteria bacterium partial 16S ribosomal RNA". It matches the Rfam family "Bacterial small subunit ribosomal RNA", at positions 355 to 776 of the family's 1533-position model. The record is from RNAcentral. Lineage: Bacteria; Pseudomonadati; Pseudomonadota.